RNAcentral lists this ribosomal RNA (484 nucleotides) under uncultured bacterium. RNAcentral describes it as "bacterial SSU rRNA". It matches the Rfam family "Bacterial small subunit ribosomal RNA", at positions 1 to 509 of the family's 1533-position model. The record is from RNAcentral.
UAGAUUUGAUCCUGGCUCAGGACGAACGCUGGCGGCGCGCUUAAAACAUGCAAGUCGAACGGAGUCUUGAGGAUUCGUCUUUAAGACUUAGUGGCGAACGGGUGAGUAACACGUGAGGAACCUGCCCUACACAGGGGGAUAACACUUAGAAAUAGGUGCUAAUACCGCAUAAGACCACGGAACCGCAUGAUUCUGAGGUCAAAGGAGCGAUCCGGUGAAGGAUGGCCUCGCGCCCGAUUAGCUUGUUGCGGGUAACGGCCCACCAAGGCGACGAUCGGUAGCCGGACUGAGAGGUUGGACGGCCACAUUGGGACUGAGACACGGCCCAGACUCCUACGGGAGGCAGCAGUUGGGAAUAUUGCACAAUGGGCGAAAGCCUGAUGCAGCGACGCCGCGUGAGGGAAGAAGGUUUCGGAUUGUAAACCUCUGUUCCGGGGACGAAAGAUGACGGUACCCGGAAGGAAGCUACGGCUAACUACGUGCC